This 492-nucleotide ribosomal RNA is filed under the name uncultured bacterium. RNAcentral's name for it is "partial 16S ribosomal RNA". It matches the Rfam family "Bacterial small subunit ribosomal RNA", at positions 29 to 507 of the family's 1533-position model. The record is from RNAcentral.
AGUGAACGCUGGCGGUAGGCCUAACACAUGCAAGUCGAACGGCAGCACAGUAAGAGCUUGCUCUUACGGGUGGCGAGUGGCGGACGGGUGAGGAAUACAUCGGAAUCUACUUUUUCGUGGGGGAUAACGUAGGGAAACUUACGCUAAUACCGCAUACGACCUACGGGUGAAAGCAUGGGAUCUUCGGACCUUGCGCGAUUGAAUGAGCCGAUGUCGGAUUAGCUAGUUGGCGGGGUAAAGGCCCACCAAGGCGACGAUCCGUAGCUGGUGUGAGAGGAUGAUAGGCCACACUGGAACUGAGACACGGUCCAGACUCCUACGGGAGGCAGCAGUGGGGAAUAUUGGACAAUGGGCGCAAGCCUGAUCCAGCCAUACCGCGUGGGUGAAGAAGGCCUUCGGGUUGUAAAGCCCUUUUGUUGGGAAAGAAAAGCAGCAGGUUAAGACCACGCUGUUCUGACGGUACCCAAAGAAUAAGCACCGGCUAACUUCGUG